RNAcentral lists this ribosomal RNA (445 nucleotides) under Listeria monocytogenes. Its description in RNAcentral is "partial 23S ribosomal RNA". It matches the Rfam family "Bacterial large subunit ribosomal RNA", at positions 930 to 1375 of the family's 2925-position model. The record is from RNAcentral. Lineage: Bacteria; Bacillati; Bacillota; Bacilli; Caryophanales; Listeriaceae.
CUCGGGUUACCGAAUUCAGAUAAACUCCGAAUGCCAUGUACUUAUACUCGGGAGUCAGACUGCGAGUGAUAAGAUCCGUAGUCGAAAGGGAAACAGCCCAGACCACCAGUUAAGGUCCCCAAAUAUAUGUUAAGUGGAAAAGGAUGUGGGGUUGCUUAGACAACCAGGAUGUUGGCUUAGAAGCAGCCACCAUUGAAAGAGUGCGUAAUAGCUCACUGGUCGAGUGACCCCGCGCCGAAAAUGUACCGGGGCUAAACAUAUUACCGAAACUGUGGAUGAACCUCUUUAGAGGUUCGUGGUAGGAGAGCGUUCUAAGGGCGGUGAAGUCAGACCGGAAGGACUGGUGGAGCGCUUAGAAGUGAGAAUGCCGGUAUGAGUAGCGAAAGAAGGGUGAGAAUCCCUUCCACCGAAUAUCUAAGGUUUCCUGAGGAAGGCUCGUCCGCUC